Small nuclear RNA from Phyllostomus discolor (pale spear-nosed bat), 166 nucleotides. RefSeq annotates it as U1 spliceosomal RNA. The record is from RefSeq and is a predicted model, not a curated record. The transcript has a single exon. Lineage: Eukaryota; Metazoa; Chordata; Mammalia; Chiroptera; Phyllostomidae.
AUACUUGCCUGGCAGGGAAGAUACCAUGUGAUCCCGAAUGUGGUUUUCCCUGGGUGAGACUUAUUCAUUGCACUCGGGAUGUGCUGACCCCUGUGAUUUCGCCGAUUGUAGAAAACUUGACUGCAUAAUUUGUGGUAGUGGGAGACUGCGUUCGUGCUCUCCCUUG